CUGGGGGGGUGGGGCAUCAGAGGGGGCUCUGUGUGUGUGUGUGAAAGAGAGUCAUUGUGUGAGUGUGAGAAGAAUUCUGAGUGACUGUGCCAGUGCGAGUGCAUGUAAUUUACAAACACCUCGCCGCUAACACCUCAGCCGAGGGACAAGAGCCGAUGCUGCCAGGGAGUGAGCACCACGUCCCUCCUCAUACGAUGCACUGAGAAGAACACAACCAUGCUUUUGUGAUGUUUCUGUCAAAAUGCUUCAGCUGAAUUUAAUCACAAAUAAACAAGCCCCAGUGAACAGACUUUCUACAAAAUAGGUGGUCAUCACUCUUCAGAAGUGGUGAGGUCAUGAAAGAAAUCAAGAACUGAGUCCUGUUGCAGAUCAGAGGGACUGAAGGAAGCAAGACGGGCAGACCCCAGCCUGCAUUGCCUCUACUUCUUGCGGGUCAACUCCACCUCCUUCUGCAUACCAGCCGCCUGCACCCCUGUCGAGCACUUGUUCUGUUCCUCCUACAAGGUGGUCUUCCAAAUCGGAACAGGAGCUGCAGAGGCUGCCUGGAAGGCGCACGCCGGGGGACCUGCAGCUCCAGAGGGCUGCCUGGCUGACAGCUGAACCCACGUGUGGUUAGGAAUGCCCAGCGCCCAGAGGCUUGGCUGGGAGCACUUGCUGUCCUCCCUCCCAGGUUCAGAAAAAAGAUGCUGAUCAGCAAGGGCUGCACGUCUUCCUCCUUCACCAACAACCCCCCGACUUGAGCAUGAUCCCCGCGGAAAACAUCAGUCACGCCAAGUUCCUGUGCUGCCCAUCCGGCAUGUGUAACCAAGAGGUCAAGGGUAGCUCCUCGGCCCCGCAAGUCAGGCUUCUGCUCAGCCUGGGGCUUGGCUUCCACCAGGCCCUGCUGCGAGGACCCUCCCUUCCUGCCCCCACCCCAACCCCUCCCUCUCUGUGGACUGGGUGACAGGGCCGACCCUCCAAGAUGAGGGUCCCCUGGGUGGGAGAGGCAGACUCACUGCCUCUCUUGCCUGGCAAGUCUGAGCAUGGUCCAGCCCCUCCGUCCUCCUAGUCCCAGUUUCGGGGGUGGCAGGUUCCUUCUGGUCCAGCUCACUCGUGCUGUCCACCUUAAGAGGGUCUUGCCCAACAAAGUGUCAACUCCAUCCCUUCUAUGCCAAUGAGAUGGGUGGUGACACUUGUCCCCCACAUGGACCCUGAAGUUCACAUCCCCUGGGGAAGCCUCCCAAGGGUGCCUGACAGGCAAUGGGAUCACAGAUCAAUAAAGCAAAAGCAAACAA
This is a long non-coding RNA of Camelus dromedarius (Arabian camel), 1274 nucleotides long. RefSeq lists it as uncharacterized. The transcript is spliced from 3 exons. NCBI's taxonomy places the organism in Eukaryota, Metazoa, Chordata, Mammalia, Artiodactyla, Camelidae. The record is from RefSeq and is a predicted model, not a curated record.